UAAUACAGAGGGUGCGAGCGUUAAUCGGAUUUACUGGGCGUAAAGCGUGCGUAGGCGGCUUUUUAAGUCGGAUGUGAAAUCCCCGAGCUUAACUUGGGAAUUGCAUUCGAUACUGGGAAGCUAGAGUAUGGGAGAGGAUGGUAGAAUUCCAGGUGUAGCGGUGAAAUGCGUAGAGAUCUGGAGGAAUACCGAUGGCGAAGGCAGCCAUCUGGCCUAAUACUGACGCUGAGGUACGAAAGCAUGGGAGCAAACAGGAUUAGAUACCCUGGUAGUCCAUGCCGUAAACGAUGCCUACUAGCCGUUGGGGCCUUUGAGGCUUUAGUGGCGCAGCUAACGCGAUAAGUAGACCGCCUGGGGAGUACGGUCGCAAGACUAAAACUCAAAUGAAUUGACGGGGGCCCGCACAAGCGGUGGAGCAUGUGGUUUAAUUCGAUGCAACGCGAAGAACCUUACCUGGCCUUGACAUACUAGAAACUUUCCAGAGAUGGAUUGGUGCCUUCGGGAA
RNAcentral lists this ribosomal RNA (505 nucleotides) under uncultured Acinetobacter sp. RNAcentral's name for it is "bacterial SSU rRNA". It matches the Rfam family "Bacterial small subunit ribosomal RNA", at positions 521 to 1026 of the family's 1533-position model. Lineage: Bacteria; Pseudomonadati; Pseudomonadota; Gammaproteobacteria; Moraxellales; Moraxellaceae. The record is from RNAcentral.